GUCGAGCGGACAGAUGGGAGCUUGCUCCCUGAUGUUAGCGGCGGACGGGUGAGUAACACGUGGGUAACCUGCCUGUAAGACUGGGAUAACUCCGGGAAACCGGGGCUAAUACCGGAUGGUUGUCUGAACCGCAUGGUUCAGACAUAAAAGGUGGCUUCGGCUACCACUUACAGAUGGACCCGCGGCGCAUUAGCUAGUUGGUGAGGUAACGGCUCACCAAGGCGACGAUGCGUAGCCGACCUGAGAGGGUGAUCGGCCACACUGGGACUGAGACACGGCCCAGACUCCUACGGGAGGCAGCAGUAGGGAAUCUUCCGCAAUGGACGAAAGUCUGACGGAGCAACGCCGCGUGAGUGAUGAAGGUUUUCGGAUCGUAAAGCUCUGUUGUUAGGGAAGAACAAGUGCCGUUCAAAUAGGGCGGCACCUUGACGGUACCUAACCAGAAAGCCACGGCUAACUACGUGCCAGCAGCCGCGGUAAUACGUAGGUGGCAAGCGUUGUCCGGAAUUAUUGGGCGUAAAGGGCUCGCAGGCGGUUUCUUAAGUCUGAUGUGAAAGCCCCCGGCUCAACCGGGGAGGGUCAUUGGAAACUGGGGAACUUGAGUGCAGAAGAGGAGAGUGGAAUUCCACGUGUAGCGGUGAAAUGCGUA
This 649-nucleotide ribosomal RNA is filed under the name Bacillus amyloliquefaciens. RNAcentral describes it as "bacterial SSU rRNA". It matches the Rfam family "Bacterial small subunit ribosomal RNA", at positions 61 to 692 of the family's 1533-position model. Lineage: Bacteria; Bacillati; Bacillota; Bacilli; Caryophanales; Bacillaceae. The record is from RNAcentral.